Molecule: ribosomal RNA, 253 nt
Filed under: uncultured bacterium
Lineage: Bacteria
Description: partial 16S ribosomal RNA
Rfam family: Bacterial small subunit ribosomal RNA
Source: RNAcentral
UACGGGGGGGGUAAGCGUUGUUCGGAAUUACUGGGCGUAAAGGGCUCGUAGGCGGCCAACUAAGUCAGACGUGAAAUCCCUCAGCUUAACUGGGGAACUGCGUCUGAUACUGGAUGGCUUGGAUCCGGGAGAGGGAUGCGGAAUUCCAGGUGUAGCGGUGAAAUGCGUAGAUAUCUGGAGGAACACCGGUGGCGAAGGCGGCAUCCUGGACUGGUCCUGACACUCAGGAGCGAAAGCGUGGGGAGCGAUCCGG